UCCCGCCUGCCCUGUGACUUAAUAGUUUAACGGCCGCGGUAUUUUGACCGUGCGAAGGUAGCGUAAUCACUUGUCUUUUAAAUGAAGACCUGUAUGAAUGGCAUAACGAGGGCUAAGCUGUCUCCUUUUUCCAGUCAAUGAAAUUAAUCUUCCCGUGCAGAAGCGGGAAUCUAAACAUAAGACGAGAAGACCCUAUGGAGCUUCAGACUAAAGGCAGCUCACAUUAAAAUAACUGGACAAACAGAACAAAUCAAGUGACCCCUGCCCUAAUGUUUUUGGUUGGGGCGACCGCGGGGGAACAAAAAUCCCCCAUGUGGAAUAGGAAUUUUUUCCUCAAAACUAGAGCCACAGCUCUAACAAGCAGAAUUUCUGACCAACAAGACCCGGCAAAGCCGAUCAACGGACCGAGUUACCCUAGGGAUAACAGCGCAAUCCCCUUUUAGAGCCCAUAUCGACAAGGGGGUUUACGACCUCGAUGUUGGAUCAGGACAUCCUAAUGGUGCAGCCGCUAUUAAGGGUUCGUUUGUUCAACGAUUAAAGUCCUACGUGAUCUGAGUUCAGACCGGAGUAAU
Molecule: ribosomal RNA, 572 nt
Filed under: Sicydium punctatum (spotted algae-eating goby)
Lineage: Eukaryota; Metazoa; Chordata; Actinopteri; Gobiiformes; Gobiidae
Description: partial 16S ribosomal RNA
Rfam family: Bacterial large subunit ribosomal RNA
Source: RNAcentral